Molecule: long non-coding RNA, 403 nt
Organism: Sphaerodactylus townsendi
Lineage: Eukaryota; Metazoa; Chordata; Lepidosauria; Squamata; Sphaerodactylidae
Exons: 4
Source: RefSeq, a predicted model, not a curated record
UCCGCCUGGAAGCGGGAAUGCGGUUAAACUGUCAAAAGUGAUCGCUUUGGGGAAGAAGCGGGAGUCGCGCUGGCGGGGAGUGCGGAUUACUCAAACCAUGCGGAUAUGCCACUUAAGGAGAAGAGAACCAAGACAAUUCCCUGCCUUCUGACCUUCUUCCAAUCAAAGAAAUCCUGAGCAUGUCAGUCAAAAAGUUAAAUACCAGAAAAUGUUACAACAAUCACAGUUCUGGUCUUGUGAUACAACAGUUGUGAUUAAAAGGUGAACUAAGGGGAGGAUAUAAUCAGAGGAACCAUUUCAAGAUUGGAAAGGGUAUUAUUGGAGAAGGCAGAAUGAUCAUCUUUUUUACAGGUGGCUAUUGUGGCAUGUUUGUUAAAAAGUAGGGACUUUUGUAAUGGUAUUU